RNAcentral lists this ribosomal RNA (428 nucleotides) under uncultured bacterium. Its description in RNAcentral is "partial 16S ribosomal RNA". It matches the Rfam family "Bacterial small subunit ribosomal RNA", at positions 354 to 796 of the family's 1533-position model. The record is from RNAcentral.
GUAGGGAAUAUUGGACAAUGGGGGCAACCCUGAUCCAGCGACGCCGCGUGAGUGAUGAAGGCCUUCGGGUCGUAAAGCUCUGUUGCAGGGGAAGAACACAAUGACGGUACCCUGCUAGAAAGGAUCGGCUAACUUCGUGCCAGCAGCCGCGGUAAGACGAGGGAUCCUAGCGUUGUUCGGAAUUAUUGGGCGUAAAGCGGGUGCAGAUGGCUUGGUAAGUCAGAUGUGAAAGCCUGGGGCUUAACCCCAGAAGUGCAUUUGAUACUGCUGAGCUUGAGUGCUGGAGAGGCUAUUAGAAUUCCUGGUGUAGUGGUGAAAUACGUAGAUAUCAGGAGGAAUACCGGAGGCGAAGGCGGAUAGCUGGCCAGACACUGACACUCAGACCCGAAAGCGUGGGGAUCAAACAGGAUUAGAAACCCGUGUAGUCC